AGUGAACGCUGGCGGUAGGCCUAACACAUGCAAGUCGAACGGCAGCACAGUAAGAGCUUGCUCUUACGGGUGGCGAGUGGCGGACGGGUGAGGAAUACAUCGGAAUCUACUUUUUCGUGGGGGAUAACGUAGGGAAACUUACGCUAAUACCGCAUACGACCUACGGGUGAAAGCAGGGAUCUUCGGACCUUGCGCGAUUGAAUGAGCCGAUGUCGGAUUAGCUAGUUGGCGGGGUAAAGGCCCACCAAGGCGACGAUCCGUAGCUGGUCUGAGAGGAUGAUCAGCCACACUGGAACUGAGACACGGUCCAGACUCCUACGGGAGGCAGCAGUGGGGAAUAUUGGACAAUGGGCGCAAGCCUGAUCCAGCCAUACCGCGUGGGUGAAGAAGGCCUUCGGGUUGUAAGGCCCUUUUGUUGGGAAAGAAAAGCAGCAGGUUAAUACCCCGCUGUUCUGACGGUACCCAAAGAAUAAGCACCGGCUAACUUCGUG
This 491-nucleotide ribosomal RNA is filed under the name uncultured bacterium. Its description in RNAcentral is "partial 16S ribosomal RNA". It matches the Rfam family "Bacterial small subunit ribosomal RNA", at positions 29 to 507 of the family's 1533-position model. The record is from RNAcentral.